GACGAACGCUGGCGGCGUGCCUAAUACAUGCAAGUCGGACGCACAGUUUAUACCGUAGCUUGCUACACCAUAGACUGUGAGUUGCGAACGGGUGAGUAACGCGUAGGUAACCUGCCUGGUAGCGGGGGAUAACUAUUGGAAACGAUAGCUAAUACCGCAUAAUAUUAAUUAUUGCAUGAUAAUUAAUUGAAAGGUGCAAUUGCACCACUACCAGAUGGACCUGCGUUGUAUUAGCUAGUAGGUGAGGUAACGGCUCACCUAGGCGACGAUACAUAGCCGACCUGAGAGGGUGAUCGGCCACACUGGGACUGAGACACGGCCCAGACUCCUACGGGAGGCAGCAGGAGGGAAUCUUCGGCAAUGGACGAAAGUCUGACCGAGCAACGCCGCGUGAGUGAAGAAGGGUUUCGGAUCGUAAAGCUCUGUUGUAAGAGAAGAACGGGUGUGAGAGUGGAAAGUUCACACUGUGACGGUAUCUUACCAGAAAGAGACGGCUAACUACGUG
This 505-nucleotide ribosomal RNA is filed under the name uncultured bacterium. RNAcentral describes it as "partial 16S ribosomal RNA". It matches the Rfam family "Bacterial small subunit ribosomal RNA", at positions 28 to 507 of the family's 1533-position model. The record is from RNAcentral.